GAUGAACGCUGGCGGCGUGCCUAAUACAUGCAAGUCGAGCGAACGGACGAGAAGCUUGCUUCUCUGAUGUUAGCGGCGGACGGGUGAGUAACACGUGGAUAACCUACCUAUAAGACUGGGAUAACUUCGGGAAACCGGAGCUAAUACCGGAUGAUAUUUUGAACCGCAUGGUUCAAAAGUGAAAGACGGUCUUGCUGUCACUGAUAGAUGGAUCCGCGCUGCAUUAGCUAGUUGGUAAGGUAACGGCUUACCAAGGCAACGAUGCAUAGCCGACCUGAGAGGGUGAUCGGCCACACUGGAAGUGAGGCACGGUCCAGACGCCUACGGGAGGCAGCAGCAGGGAAUCUUCCGCAAUGGGCGAAAGCCUGACGGAGCAACGCCGCGUGAGUGAUGAAGGUCUUCGGAUCGUAAAGCUCUGUUAUUAGGGAAGAACAUAUGUGUAAGUAACUGUGCACAUCUUGACGGUACCUAAUCAGAAAGCCACGGCUAACUACGUG
Molecule: ribosomal RNA, 497 nt
Filed under: uncultured bacterium
Lineage: Bacteria
Description: partial 16S ribosomal RNA
Rfam family: Bacterial small subunit ribosomal RNA
Source: RNAcentral